AUUGAACGCUGGCGGAAUGCUUUACACAUGCAAGUCGAACGGCAGCACGGACUUCGGUCUGGUGGCGAGUGGCGAACGGGUGAGUAAUGUAUCGGAACGUGCCCAGUCGUGGGGGAUAACGUAGUGAAAAUUACGCUAAUACCGCAUACGAUCUAUGGAUGAAAGCGGGGGAUCGCAAGACCUCGCGCGAUUGGAGCGGCCGAUAUCAGAUUAGGUAGUUGGUGGGGUAAAGGCCCACCAAGCCAACGAUCUGUAGCUGGUCUGAGAGGACGACCAGCCACACUGGACCGGGGACACGGUCCAGACUCCUACGGGAGGCAGCAGUGGGGAAUUUUGGACAAUGGGCGAAAGCCUGAUCCAGCCAUUCCGCGUGCAGGAUGAAGGCCCUCGGGUUGUAAACUGCUUUUGUACAGAACGAAAAGGUUUCUACUAAUACUAGGAGCUCAUGACGGUACUGUAAGAAUAAGCACCGGCUAACUACGUGCCAGCCGCCGCGGUAA
RNAcentral lists this ribosomal RNA (500 nucleotides) under uncultured bacterium. RNAcentral describes it as "partial 16S ribosomal RNA". It matches the Rfam family "Bacterial small subunit ribosomal RNA", at positions 30 to 523 of the family's 1533-position model. The record is from RNAcentral.